Homo sapiens (human) is the source of this 1777-nucleotide long non-coding RNA. The record is from Ensembl. Lineage: Eukaryota; Metazoa; Chordata; Mammalia; Primates; Hominidae.
AUGCUUCCCUGGGUAAAAUACUGGCCUCUCCAGACUUUAUUUUUCUCAUCUUUAAAAUGGGUUGAUUCUUAUUUGGCCUAUCCCUGACCAAAAAAAAUAAUAUUUUUUAAAAUAUAAACUUUUACACAAAUCGAUCUGAAAAUCAGCAUCCUGCUCCCACUUGGCUCUGGUGCCCUUGAUGGAGCUGAAGUCUGUCUGGGUGGUUCCUGAGUUUUCUCAGAUUCCUUCAGGGCUGCCAGUUGAACCACCAAUGUGUGGAGUUUUACUUAAGCCUCAUUUUAUAAAUCAGACCAUUUGACUUGUCUCCCACUAACUUGUCAAAGUUCCAGCGAGCAAGUUUUAGUUCCAGAAGCCAGAUGCUUGCCACUGCCAGCUCCCUGAGGUGGGCGUUCUCACCAGCCCCAUUCCCUGCUGAGCAGCCACGGGCCCAUCUCCCAGCCCAGGGCAAGGCCACAUUUCCUCAGACCUCUGAGAGCUCUGAAGUCAGCCUGUGUGGCUGGGGUGGAUACAGGCCAGCUGAAGUGGACAGAGGAUACCGGUGAACAAUAAAAAUAACAGAUAGCUAUGGCAGUCAGUGGAACACAGCUAAACCAUUCUGCCCGGCGGAGUGGCUCAGUCAGAGUGCCAGAUGUGGGUGAUUCAUAAGCGUAGUGGCCAUCAUGUUGAAUUGUUACUAUUGUCACUGAGUGUGCUGAGCACCUGACUGCACUAACUUGUUUAGAACUCAGCCGUCUGUGAGGUGCACACUGUCACCACCCCCAAUUUACAGACGAAGAUACUGAGACCCUAAUAGGCCUGCUCCCAAAUGACUGCUCACAGCGUUACUCCCUUGAUGUGGAGGUGUGGGCAGAAAGUCCUGGGGCUCUGAACGCCCCCGCCCAGGGGUCCUGCCUGUGGGUCAUCCAGCAGCAGCACCUCUGUCCAGUCCCACACUGAUGUGAACAGUCUUCUCUGAUCUACAGCUCACAAUCUACUUCAGCCCCACUGUCACCCUCUCCCCACUUGUGUGCCGUGUUCAGUCCUCAGGGACCCCAGAACCAGCCCAAGCAGACUAAGGUUCCCUGGGUUCUAGAAUCUUGAUAGCUCAAACCACUGGCCUCUCCCUGAAGGGUUUCGACACACCCCCCCACCACCCACCUCCUCUCUAGCCUCUGCUUCCCAGCCAGCCCUACCUCCUUCCCAGGAUCCACCAGCUAAGCCACCAGUGACCCUGGAACAGUGAACUAGCCCCGCCUCUCUGUGCCUCAGUUUCCCAACUUGUAUGAUGAGGGAGCAUAGACAGAAGCAGUUCUAUGGGCCCCUCCAGCUCAGACAUUCUCCAAACCCCCAUCAUCUCUCAUUUGACAACUGCAGUGGCCUCCUUGGAGUGCUCCCUGGAGCCACUCUUCCAGGCCUCCCAGCCCCAUCUGGCUAUACACAGCAGCCAGCAUGAGCUUUUGAAACAAUAUUAUUUCAUUCCCACCUUUAAAACCCUCCGUGACUUCCUACCACACAUAGAAUAAAAGCCAAACUCCUUCCCAUGGCCAACAGUACCCUACAUGACUGGGGGUCACGCCCGGGCUCCCUCUUCUCAGAAGGUGCUUUGAACACAGCCAGCCCGCCAGCCCCUGGCUGCUAGGAGCUGCUGCCGUGUUGCCAAUACCAUCACUGUGUGUAUUGAUUUCUCACCCAACUGGUGUCCUUAACUUCAUAUUUAUGGCUUGCCCUGACAUUUCCCUUCUCUUACAUGUUCCAAAUUAUUAAAAACAGCUGCUUUAUAAUUAAUUGAGCAAAUCAC